AGACACACACCCACCCACCCACCUCACCACCACCUCCACACACCCCACUCAGCUCUCUCACGACGGUAACAAUGGCGUCUUCAAUCUUUUUCACAUGAGCAUCACUAAUAACUCCAAUCAAACCUCUUCAAACAACCCCAUCUUGUCAUACCACUGUUUGUCUCGUACAAUUUGCAAAGAAAUCAACACCAUUGAACCUCUCACCAUCACAUAGUAUCUCUGUUUUCUUCCACUUGUUGCAAACAUAGCCCCAAUUGUAUAUUCCCCUUUAAUCAAAUUGAUGUUGAAAAUUGAAAACCCACAAGGGGUUUUUUGUGGACUUAGGUGUGCGGUUACCUGGAACAAAGAUUGGGAUUGGGUGGUUGUUUACUUCAGCAGCUUAUGAGGAAUCAGAUGGACUUUCAAAGAUUGUUAUGCCGUAUGGAUUAUACUUAACCGGAACCCUAGAUUGGUGGCAGCGAUUGGUUGUCCGACGAAGUUUAGGUAAAGUCCACUUGGUCAGAUUUAAUGAUAAAAAUGAUUUAUUAUAGCAUUUAGGGCUAAAUGACCAAAAAAUAGGGUUCUUAUCUGGUAGAACAGUUAGAGAGAGAGAGAACGACGACAGGUGGGUGGUGUAGCGAUGGCGAUCUGCGAUGCAGCGGUGGUGGCAAGUGGGUUGUGGUGGUGGUAGGAUAGUUCGAUCGAGAGAGAGAGAGAGAGAGAGAGGGAGAGAGAGAGGAGGGGGUGAUCUGCGGUGACGUGGUGUUGGUGGUGGCAGGUGGGUGGUGGUGGUGGCAGCGGCAGGUGGGUCGUGGUGGCGGUGGUGACGACAAGUGGGUUGUGUUGGUGGUAGGAUUGUUAGAGAGAAGGUGGGUGUAUAUUAUAUGAUGUCUGCAUAUAUGAAUUGUUCAUAAACAACUUAAUUUCCUUAACGAACGAACACGAACAUAAACUUGUGUUUAUUAUGCGUUCGUGAACUGUUCGUGAACAUGUCAAUUUCCUUAACGAACGGACACGAACAUGGUCUUGUUCGUGUUCGUUUGAUUGGUUUACAUCCCUACUUAUACGAA
This is a long non-coding RNA of Helianthus annuus (common sunflower), 1049 nucleotides long. RefSeq lists it as uncharacterized. Lineage: Eukaryota; Viridiplantae; Streptophyta; Magnoliopsida; Asterales; Asteraceae. The transcript is spliced from 2 exons. The record is from RefSeq and is a predicted model, not a curated record.